CUUUAUUCCACAGAUACUUGGAGGUGGUGAAAGGGGUGUAACUUAAAGCAUUGUUUUAAGAAGGUAAAUUUGCCCUCAGCGAUUAAGGUGGAUUGAAACUGGGAGAGGCUAGAGAUAGGUCAGGUCAGUUGUGAAAAGCAAAAAGCUGACUUUGAAAGAAGAUUUGGCUAGAUUUGACGACUGCUAACGAAAACUGUCAGAAGUUUACUAAGAAUUCUAGGAAGCCAGGGCCUUCUGAGUAAUGGAUGAAUCAGAGGGAAGAAGGCCACCAUGUUUCAGCUGCAACUCGGCUCUUAAAACAAAUAGGUCACAGGUCAUGGAACUAACAUUUGCUUAAGUUGAUCCCCUCUGCUGACUUUAUUAAGAAUUUAUCACAGUCACCUCACGUUCAUAUUAGCUUCUGCCGCUAAGAGGAAGGGGUUUCCCUCCCAAGAGCACAGAUACAGAGACUUCCUAGCUCACUUUCUUUAACUGUUCUUCUGGGGGAAUCCAUGUCGUCCUUUCCUCGCUCUCUUGCACACAGGAUCUCAGCGCCUCAUUGAACCAGCAUCUUUUUUAUAAGUCUCAUUUAACCAGGAAGCAUGAGGGCAUGGAGAUCCAUUUCAGUGCAUCUCGUCUACUUUUCCAAGCAUUGGUGGAGCACCUGCUAUGGGCCAGGCCCUGGGAUAGCUUCUGGAGCUGCUCGUAGACUCACUAAGCCCAGGCAGGGCCUGAAAAGCUGCCUAGAGCUUACUUCAAUUUGCAUUUUAUGUGGUCAGCAGCAUUGCUCUUAAAUUGCCCCGGACUCCUUUCUUUAUGGAAGAGUUCUAAUCACUUGUCUGGUGCAUUUUGCUACUAUCAUUUGUGCUUAUACAGUCUCUGCAUAGGCAUGCACAGUUCCCAGCUGGCAAAUGGAUUGUGUUCUGAAAGUCAGUCUGUAAUUCAUAUUCCCAUAGGAACAAUGAUAUGUUCAACAGCCAGUGCACAUACACUCUCACACACACCUAUGCAAGACACUUCUGACCCGUAAGUUGGUUGAACCAUAUAUUUAAAAAUAUCAAAAUUCAUCAUUUUUCUUUCUGGGAAAAAUAUUUUUUAAAUUUCCACGGAGAACUCAACCUCUCUGUGAAGUCUUAGAUUCCGGAAGAAAAAGUUCUUGUUGCCUUCAUGGUAAAAGGUUUCCUCUGCCCACGGUCCUGGGUAGAGGAGGAGGUUAUACCUCUGUACAGUCGUGGGCUGUCCGCUUGCCAAUCUGUGGCAACAUUCUUAGGAGGGGAAUCCCUCCUAUGGUGGUGUAAGGAGAUGAGCAAAAUCUGGAUGAUUGUUCUGUUAUUAGACAGUACAUCAGGUGUUUAUCUUGAGGUACCCUGUGCUCCUACUUCGAAUCUGCCAUCUUUGUAAUUUUCUGUACUUCCAAUCUUUCUAAAAUGCAAGUUUGAUGCAUUCUCCCCCCAGCUUCUACUCACCUUCAAGAUCAGUUCCAAACUCCUUGGCAUGGUAUAAUUGGCCCCUCGAGACCUGGCCCCUGCUUACCCUCCAGCUUCCUUUCUCAUCUUAUGUUGAUGCUAUAGGCAGAGGCCAGGUUUUCUCUGAAGUUGCUUUUAGAUAUAUUGCUCCCUCUGCCUGGCAAGCCUUUUCCAUUCCCUGCCGAGGUCAUUCAGAUUUAUCCUUGAAGACUCGGCUUAGCUGCCAGUUUCUUUCAGCCACUUCUGUGACACAUCACCCUAUGACCACCCUCAGUGUGAAUGAGGUGUAUUCCCUAAUUCCAUAGCGCCCUGCACACACUUCUCUCCUAACACUCAUCAUAAGGCUGACAGGUGUUCAUUUACGUAUUUGUCUCCCCCAGGAGACUGAACUACUGGAGAUCAGAGACUAAUCUGUGCGUUCCAAGUGUCCAGCAUGUAGCAUAUGAAAGGCACUCAAAUGCAUACUGAAAUAAUGGAGUAGAUGGGGAGAGGACCUGUGACCAUGGCUAGCCUAGAAUAGCUAGAUUCCAACGAUGGAGUUAAUACCUGCAGGGGAAACUAGAACACCUGGGGAAAGCCCUGUGCUGUCAGGUUAAAGGUCUGAGAUUCUUGGAAAGAGGCCCUGAGGUUAGGUCAGACUGGCUCGAAAGGAAUUAUUCUAGAGGUAUAUGUGGAAUGGAGAAGGUGGUACGGGUAGGGUGACUCCACCUGGGGUGAUUUUGACCCCCAGGGAACAUUUGGCAAUGUCUGAAGACAUUUUUGGUUGUCACAACCAGGGUAUUGAGGGUAGUGAUACUGGCAUCUAGUGGGUAGAGAUCAGGGAUGCUGGUAAUCAUACUACAGUGCACAGGAAGCCCCCUACAAUGAAUAAUUAUCUGGUCCAAAUGUCAGUAGUGCCGAGUUUGAGAAAGCUUGCCACAUAGGAUACCAUGAGAAGUUACUGACACUCUAUUUUUUAAGUUAAUUUAAAGCAAAUGAGAUUUGGUAAAUUGUUAACUUUUGAUGUGAAAAAAAAAACACUAGAAUCUAAGAGAUGUGAGUUCUAGUCCUGGCUGUAGAAAAAGCUAGCUGUGUUUCCUAAGGCAAGUCACCUUUCUGGACCUCUUUUUGUUCAACUCAGGCUCUUUCCAGUUCUAACAGCCCAUGGCUCUAAACCUGGCUCAAAUGUCUGAUUAAAACCACCAGUGAUUUGAAAAAAGAAAGACAGUUGUGAUCACAUAUUCUGUUUUUUUACCUUGGUUAAAUGUCUUUCUUCAGGAACUAGAAGGGUUCCUAAUCCUCGGCUUUACCAAGACAACCGAUGACCAUUGUAACAAUAUCACUUAAGAGAUGAGACAAGACAUAUUCAUAUUAUAAAUUGAAAUGUUGCCUCCAAGGUGGCAGUACUCAUCUGCACGUGACAUUUAUGAAUGUUUUCCAACAGCAUCUACCAGAUAUCAGGAACAAGGGAAAGGAAGGCACCAAAGUUAAAGCUAAGAGUUCCAGUCUGAAUAUCUACUUUUCUGGAUUCUGGAAAAUUACAGUAUAAACAGGUGUGUUAUAUAUAAUGAAACAUAUAGGGGAGAGUAUGUGGGGAAUUAGGUUAGGGGACUGGAUGAUGAGUGAUGGUUGUACCAUACCUUUAAGUACAGUUUUUUUUUUACUGCAUUAAUAUAUCACAAUGAAUUAUGACUGUUGGCAGAUAUUUUAGAAAUCUCGAAAUAGAUUCAGCUUAGCUUCUAGUGCCCUCCCCAAUAUGGCACAACGAUACCUGUUCAGCCUUAUCUCUCACGUUUCCUUUGUUUAAGCAAUCUGGUCAAAACAGGAUUAAAAAUCUUCCUCAACUUACAAUGGAGUUAUAUCCUGAUAAACCCAUCAUAAAUUGAAAACAUUGGUAAGUCAAAAAUGUGUUUAAUACGCCUAACCUACUGAAAAUCAUAGCUUAGUCUAACCGAUCGUAAACGUGCUCAGAGCACUUACAUUAGCCUACAGUUGGGCAAGAUCAUCGAAGACAAAGCCUAUUUUAUAAUAAGGUGUUGAAUAUCUCAUGUAGUUUAUUGAAUACUGUACUGAAAGUGAAAAACAGAAUGGUUGGAGGGCUACAGAAUGGUUUUAUGUGUGUGGGUUGUUUACCCUCGUGAUUGCAUCAUUGUUUACCCAGGCAGCUCGCUGCGCUGCCCAGCCUCACAAGAGAGGAUCGGACAGCAUAUCGCUAGACCGGGAAAAGAUUAAAAUUCCAAGUACAGUUUCUACUGAAUGCAUAUCGUUUUCGCACCAUUGUAAAUUCAAAAUAUCCUAAGUCAAAUCAUCGUAAGUCAGGGACCCUCUGUACUUAUCCUCCCUAAGACCUGAAUUUACAUGUCGGUGCUUCUUUGUGUUAACCCACGCUAUUCUAUGUCUUCAUUUUCCUAAAUUCUACCUUUCAUUCAAGGUUCAGGGGCAGCUCUUUCAUGAAGUUGUCCUUGAUCACAUCCCUCUGUCUUGUAAAAGAGCAUCCUCACCUUUUAACUCUGAUGGCAUCCGUUAGCUAAUAUGGGCCAUGUAGCUAAUAUGCAGUCAUAUUACAUGAGUACAAAUCUUACCUGUUCUGCUAAAUCUCUUGUUCCCUGCAUAUUCCUAACCUACUCCCUUGGGCAGACCUGCUUGCUUGUCUGUAUUUGGCCCUUGAGUCUAACCUUGGGCAGGGACGGUUUCAUCUUCAUCAUGCAGCCCCAGGCCUAGCAUAUGUUGUAUGCAUAUGUGCUCAAUCAAUACCUGUUUAUCUAAUGGAUGGGUGGAUUUAUUACAUACUGAAUGAAUUCAUCUAAAACAGGUUGAUUAGCUUAUCUUAGCCUCCUUUGUUAAAAGUCAAAGAAAUGCUGGCAUAGAGAUUUGCAAGGAAGAAGAAUUUUUGCUUAAUUAUGAUAACUAAUUAUCUAAAAAAUAUUUGGCUAAUAUUUUAGUGAGACUCCUAUUAAGAUUCUAGAUGUUCAAAUUACUAUCAACAACCUUUAAAAUUAACAGUGUCUAUUGUAUUUUAUGGAAAUGCCAACCAACUAUCCAGAAUCCUCAUUGGAUUACAUUCUCAUUGAAUAAAAAAUGUGGAAUAUGAAUGCUCAGUGGUUCUUAGCAAUCAAGGAGCCAUGUAGCGCUCCAGUGUAAUGUUUCAACCUUUCCCCAAAACCGUAUUGAGUCUUGGCCAGACAUAUUAGCAUGAGCUGACCGACAAAAGAUGUAGGUUCUAGGAAAGUAAGAAUAGAAAUGAUUCCAGCUAGCAUUAACCCUAUAAGUGUGUUAGUUAUCAUCUGUGUGGUAUGUUAAAGCACUGGCAAGUAGUGAACUACUUUGAAUGAUUACAUUAAGUAAUAUAGGACACAAAAAAACUUUCCAAUACUGUUAAGUCAAGAGGAAAAUUGGAAUGGUGUCUAAUCUAACAUAUGUAUAUACUUUUUCUCCUCCUUCCACUGUAAUCAAAUCAAUCAAUCUCUUUUUCCAUAUAUAUAUACACACAUGUAUAUAUAUACACACACAUAUAUGCAUGUGUAUAUGUAUGUAUAUGCAUUUCUUUCUCUCAAGCAAACACUCACUCAUUUCUUCUCUGUUCCUGCCCCGUCUGGCUUCUGAAAGUCUGAAGAAGUCAGAGCUCUACAGAAAGUCAAUAAAAAUGGUUGUAUUCAAUAUGCGAGGUUCAAGUUACCCUUAAAUUUGGAACUCCUAAUCAACUCUAUAUUUAAUUAAUUACUUAUUUGUAUUAUACAGGGUGAUUCAAAAAGAAUUGCACCUUGGCCACCCAGAUCCUCAGAUGUCUCACUUUGCAACUUCCUUCAGACAGAAUACCUCCGGAACCUCACAUCUGUACUGCACCUUCAUUUUUUUUCAACCUUCAAAAAAUGAAGAAUCUUGUCCUGGCUGCCAUUUCAGUUGUCAAAGUCUAGGUUUCAGGAACCGGACAUGAAGCUCUGUGUGACUGAAAUGAACCACCUGUUGUCUUCAAAUGGAAGUGAAGAAAAGGUCGAGGAAGAUGGAGUGGGGAUAAGAAUGACUUCAAGCAUCUCACUUGAUAAUCUUGUUCUUCUUGAGAGAUUUACCUAUCUCUUGUGAAUAGGAAGAACUUUGCUUGUAAAAUCAAUUUCAGAUAACCAUAUUUAGAUGGGUGGCGAUCAUCAUUUUUCUUAAAGUUGCUUCCAGCAGCCGGCCCAGUGGCGGAGCGGGUAAGUUCGCACGAUCCGCUUCUCGGUGGCCCAGGGUUCGCCGGUUCGGAUCCCGGGUGCGCAUGCAGCACCGCUUGGUGAAAGCCAUGCUGUGGUAGGCAUCCCAUGUAUAAAGUAGAGGAAGAUGGGCAUGGAUGUUAGCUCAGGGCCAGUCUUCCUCAGGAAGAAGAGGAGGAUUGGCAGUUAUUAGCUCAGGGCUAAUCUUCCUCCAAAAAAAAAAAAAGUUGCUUCCAAACUUCUUUUUCUAUAUAUAUACUUUGGAAAUCCAAGAAGCCAUCAGCACCGAUGAUGUUGUAGCCAAACCGAGCCUUUGGUGAAGGAAAGCAUAGCUGAGGAGUCGAUGAGGGUCCCAGUAACAUCAUGGUUGUACUAUUAAGCCUAAUUUAUUCUGUAGAUUCUUUCGAUUGUAUAAUUUCUUAAUACUCUCCCGUGUUCAAGAGUAUAUGCCUUUUUUUGGUAAAUGGCCUUAUAUAUUCUUUAGAAGUAGGCUGCGUAGAAAUUAUAACCAAAUGAGGGAAAUAAGCAUCCUCAUAGUGUAUCUCUUUGAUUACACUGAUCUUCAUCUCAGUUCAUGUCAGCAAACCUGGCCUUGUCAUUCUCUUCCCUAUCUCAAGGGCAGGGUUUCUCAACCUCGGCACUAUUGACAUUUUUGGGCCAGAUAAUCCUUUGUCGUGGGGUGCUGUCCUUUGCAUCCCUGGCCUCUACCUACGGGGUGCUAGUAGCAGCCCCCUUGUUGUGACAACCAAAAAUGUCUUCAGACACUGCCAGAUGUGCUCUUGGGAGCAAAAUCACCCCUGAUUGAGAACCGUUGCCCGAGGGUGAAAAGAUUUUCCAGGUUAGUCCCAGUUUAUAAGUUUUCCCAAGUAUAUAGGAUCCCCUUUCACUUUCAAAAGGGUCAUAAUUUGGACAGGGAAUUAAAUGGUCACCCAACAUAUCUCAGUAAAUAGCAACUUCGUGUUUCCAGUUGCUCAUGCCAAAACUUUGGAGAUGUUCUUAACUCCUCUCAUUCUCUCAUACCCCUCAUCAGCCAUUAGUAAAUCCAGUUGAUUAAAACCACCUUCAAACUGUAUGCCAUAUCCAGCACUUCUGUCCAUGUCCACUGAUAUCACACUGGUCCAAGCCACCUCGACUCACCCAGAAGAACAUGUGCCCCUCCUCAGGCUGUUCUCACACAGCUGCCAAAGCUAUCAUGUUUAAUUAGCAAGCUGGAUCAUGCCACUCCUCUGCUCAAAAUCCUUCAAUGGCUUCCCAUUCUACUUAGAGUUAAAGCCAAAGUCAUUACAAUGGUCUAAAAGUAGCCUUACAAGAUCUGCCUAACCACUGCCCUCCUCCUUGUUCCGGUUAGCCUCUCUGACCUUAUCCCUUUGGACUCACUGUUCAGCUACCCUGACCUCUGCUAUUCCUUAAACACCUGGCACAGCCUGUUUCAGCGCUUUCCUCUGCCGAUUCCUUUUACCUGCAACCUUCUACCUCCCGCCACUCCAGAUAUCCACAUAGCUUGCUCCCUCAUUUUCCAAGUCUAUGUUCUACUCUCAGCUUCACAGUGAGGCCUUCUCUGACCACUUGAUUUAAAAUCACACCCUCAAUUCAUCUCCCCUGAUUUCUUUCUUACCAUAGCCCUUAUCACUAUCUGACAUACUAAAAUUUUACCCAUUUCUUUAUUUAUUUCCUGAUUUAUUGUGUGUCUCUCAGAAUUAGUAUGCAGACUCCACGAGGGCGGGGGUUUUUCUCUGUUUUGUUCACUGUCCAAUACUCAGUGCCUUUAGCAGUUUUCCUAGGAAACAUGUAGUGGGCACUCAAUAAAUACUGAAUGAUGCAAUAAUGAAUUUAUUGAAUACUUACUUUCUUCUAGGCAUCAGGCUAAUACUGAGUAUACAAAAGUGAGUGCAGCACUAUCCCUGCCCUCAAGAAGUUUAAAAUCUAGUAGAGGACACACGCAUGUAAAUAAAUAAGCACAGAAGCGUGAGAUGCCUGCAAUAAAGAGAAGAACGCAUGGAUGUGGUAUAGAGGGAUAAAAGGGAUUGGUGGAGCACAAGGGAUUGCAGUGCAUUGAGGAGGAAGUGGCGGUAGGGAAGGGAUAAUACUUUGUCCCAGUCCAUUAUUUGCACAGCUGCUGCAAUGCAAAGACGGUGUGAAUGGCAAUGUAAAGCCGCUGCAUGUGCCAGUGGCUUUUCAUCUUGUACACCCACACCUGCAGUGUGGAAUCCUUACAGUUUAGCAUGGUAUAUAAGGCUGAUCAUAAUCUGGCUCCCUGUCCAGACUUAUCUAUUGCCACUCUCCUCCAAACAGCUUUUCUUGCUAACUAGACUGAUGAGAACAAUAUGUGUCCUUAACACUUUCAGGCUUUUCCUGGCUCCUGGAGUGCCCUCCCCCACCGCAUGGUCUACUUGACAGGUUUUAAGACUUGGCUGAAGUGGAAUAGCCUCUGUGAAGACUUCCUUGAUGUCACCUUCCUUCUGGGUAAAUUAUCACACGAAAGACCAGAGGCAGCUGCAUCAGACAGGUUGGAAAAGUAUGCAUUUAUUUCUAAAGAGAAUGAACCUAUUAAGACAGUUUGAAAAAUGGUGCAAAAGAAAUAUAUACCAUCAAUCAAGACUGUGUAUUAACUUUGAGUAAUUGUAGUCUGAAAUCCACAUUCCUGGAGCAAAGAAGUGACAUACCUGCCAUAGAUCAGUGUAAACAUGGAGACAGAACAAUGAGAGCCUGUACAAUAAACGAAGAGGAAGAUUGGUACCAGAUCAAAACAUUUCCCUCAUCUGCCUGCAGUUUAAUCUGGGAAGAACUGGAAUUAAGUUCUGGACCACACCAUGUUUAUGACUGACUACUUAUUAAUUGUAUUUAAAUGUGUCAUAAAGUUAAAUGUGUAGUAAACUAUAUGAAUUUUAUUUCAUAUUUUGAGUUUUUUGAUUUAUAACUACUAAUUCCUUCUAUCAUGAUAAAGUUGUGGGUUGAAAGUACCCAUUCGAUAUUACGAAAGGUAAAUACCACAAUCGGUAGAUCAGAGUGGUGGUUACAAUCAAGAUUCUAGUGACCAAAGUCAGACCAGUUGGGUCUGCAGCAUGCUUUAUAGACUAGUAUCUCUGUAGGACCUGUUACUCUUUGAAUAUUUAUUCAAUAAUUGAAUAAUUCAAUGUUCAAUUGAAUAAUUCAGUAACUGAAGGUCUAAGCGUCAGGCAUUGUUUUGAUCUUAUAACCUUCUCAAGAAUCUAUGAAUUAAGUUGUAAUUUCUCCACUUAAGGAUAAUGAAGCUGAAGCUUAAGAAGGUUUAAGUACCUUCACCAGCCAACAAGAAGAGCGCUCAAGAUCCAAACCUAGUUCAUUCCAAAGUAAAGCUCGGUCUUAACUACCGUGCAGGUCUGUUUCUGUGCUACAUCUCUGGAUGAUUUCAUUUCAGGGCAUUUGUGUCUGAAUUGAGGAUAAUCUUUUGCAUCAAAUUGAUACAGAUUUUGAUGCUAAUCUGUGUAUCAUGAAUCAUGGUUAGUCACAGAAGUUAUUUGUUCACUUUGUAAUUGUUACACCUUAAACUCAUUGACUUUAAUGAAAUGGCUGAUAGUAAUAUUGGAGGCCUAAUUGUUAGCUUGGGCAGGUGGACCGCAGGCUUGGUAUUUAAUCACAUAAUGUGCCUUUGUGAAAACAGAACAGUUGUAAGACCGGCAUCAGCAAUUCCUGAGGGAGGAUUCCAAGAAGCAGCUAAGACCUUGAAAAUUCCCCUGGGUAUUAUGGAUUUCAUUUUAAGUGAAAAUGCAAAGCAAUUAAAUUUCUUGUAACUGAAUUCCUUAAUUAUACACAGUUUCUAUUGCUCAUUUUUUAGUUAAAAGUUGACCUUGAUUUCUUGGAAAUAUGUAAAAAUAUAGGUGCAAAUGGAAAAAGACUGGAAGAUAAUAUACAAGAAAAAAUAUUUUUGGUCUUAGGAUAGUAGGAGAGCUAGGAUG
This 9546-nucleotide long non-coding RNA is filed under the name Equus caballus (horse). RNAcentral describes it as "lncRNA (ENSECAG00000050900.1)". The record is from RNAcentral. Lineage: Eukaryota; Metazoa; Chordata; Mammalia; Perissodactyla; Equidae.